Molecule: ribosomal RNA, 497 nt
Filed under: uncultured bacterium
Lineage: Bacteria
Description: partial 16S ribosomal RNA
Rfam family: Bacterial small subunit ribosomal RNA
Source: RNAcentral
GAUGAACGCUGGCGGCGUGCCUAAUACAUGCAAGUCGAGCGAUCAGACGAGGAGCUUGCUCCUCUGACGUUAGCGGCGGACGGGUGAGUAACACGUGGAUAACCUACCUAUAAGACUGGGAUAACUUCGGGAAACCGGAGCUAAUACCGGAUAAUAUAUUGAACCGCAUGGUUCAAUAGUGAAAGACGGUUUUGCUGUCACUUAUAGAUGGAUCCACGCCGCAUUAGCUAGUUGGUAAGGUAACGGCUUACCAAGGCGACGAUGCGUAGCCGACCUGAGAGGGUGAUCGGCCACACUGGAACUGAGACACGGUCCAGACUCCUACGGGAGGCAGCAGUAGGGAAUCUUCCGCAAUGGGCGAAAGCCUGACGGAGCAACGCCGCGUGAGUGAUGAAGGUCUUCGGAUCGUAAAACUCUGUUAUUAGGGAAGAACAAAUGUGUAAGUAACUAUGCACGUCUUGACGGUACCUAAUCAGAAAGCCACGGCUAACUACGUG